CAACGCCAGCAGGGCGGGAACUCUACUCUUAUAAUGGGAUGGAGCUAGUUUGUAUUCCUGCGUCUCAUUGGCUAGAAUCUGUGUAUGUCAAAUCAAACGGCCAAUCCGUGAGGGGAUGGAGGAGGGGUGAACGCAGCUGUGCGAGGGAUGAAGAUGGAGACUAUGAAUACAGUUGUGGUUGUAUCUCUGCUCCUGUAAAAUAGUGUUAAUAUUAGUCAAAGUUAAUCAAUUAAUCAGUCAAUCGAUCAACACAGGACUGAUGAGUGAUAAUCAGUUGAUCGUGUCAGCAAUAAAACAAAUGUUCUGGAUGAGGAUUUGUUGCUCUUCUUUGUCAGAUAUGACAGUGAACUGGAUUUUUCACCUCGAGCUCUGAGCCAUUUACUCAAUGAUUAAUCAGUGAUGAAAAUAUGCUUAUAUUUUAAGAUGAUGACAAUAUAUAUUAUAUAUAGCCUGUGUGUGUGUGUGUGUGUGUGUGUGUGUGUGUGUGUGUGUAUUUAUAGAGAGAGAGAAAAGAAAAAACUAAACAACUGAACGGUUUUAUAAGCAGACAUCAAAUUGAACCAGGAUAUUGUGUUGGAGUCUUCUCAUGUUUGUGGGGUUUCUAUGGUUCCUGCUCCUUCAGUUCUAACACAGUUCGUUCUGUUCCAUCAUCAUUAUUUCCUGAAUGAGAUGAAAGAAAUAUUAUAUGCAUCUGUAAACAUGCUGGAGGCAGCAGUGACACGACUAUUCAGAAAGACAUUUUGACUGAGUCUGUUCUGUCUCAGACUCAAACAUCAGAGGUCGUCGUCUCACAGGUAAUUAAAGUUUUUAAAUCCUUCAGACCACUGGUUCCUUUAUAGAGACAUGUGCUUCUCCAGCCUGUUCUAUAAUGAGAUGAUAACAUGGACGUCAGGUUAUUCAGACAUGUUAUCUACCAACAUUUAAACCUCUUGUUGCUGUGACUUUAUCUCUCUGCCAGACAACCUCUGCUGUUUACAGUGAUUUUUAUCUGUUUCCAUAAUUUGCUGUUUACUGUCUGAUGACAAACAAAACCACAUACACACAUUUCCUGGAUUAAAACACAUCACUUCUCCAGCUCCAUCAUUAUGAAUUAUGUUUUCUAUCUGGUCUCAUCAACCAGAAUCAGAAUCAGAAUCUGGAUCAGAAUCAGGAUCAGAAUACUUUAUUGAUCCCAGGGGAAAAGUUCAGCUACAGCUGCUACCUAAGCAAAGAAUAGAGAAUAAGAAGUAGAUUAUAAAGAUAAACAUGAAAAUAUAACUAUGAAAUAUAAAGUCGUCAUACUGUGAUAUACGAAUAAAAAAUUAGAAACGUAAAGCAAUAUUAAAGUAUAGGAGUUUAAAUUGCAUGUGUCUGAAAGUGUCAGAGUUGCACAGUUAGUAUAAUUUAGUGAGUAUGAAUAAAUAAAUAUAAAUAAAUGUUGAAGUGUAGAACGUCUGCUGUCUAUUGACUAUGAGUGUCUGGCACUGUAAGGGACAUCACAGCUCUAAGUGUUCCUGCAGGAUCAACAUGUCAACAGCCUCAGCUGCAGGAUGUCCUUCAUCCUUAAUUUCAUCCUCAUCCUCACCCUCAUCACAGUGAUCGGCCUUUAUACAAGAAAAAAAAUUAAAGGAGUUUUUAAAUUUCAAUGUUUUUAAAAAUAAUUUCAUUUAAAAAUGUUUUUUAAAAACAUUAUUUGUAUUAUUAUUUUUAUAAUUACAUCUUUUCACCAGAUUGUAGCCUUCUGUUUGCAAAAUGAUUUGAUGGGAGCACUUGCAAUACCUCUGCGGUCCACCAGCGGUCCGCAGCCCGCGGGUUGAGAACCACUCAUAUACUGUGAUUAAAUAUAUGUUGUAUAUAUUUAACGUUCCCAUAGUAACACAGUCCACCAAUUCUUUUAUUAUAGUUAUUAUAACACAGGAUAAUGUCUUAAGUUGUAGUCUCUGUAAAUUAUCUUAUGUUAAUAAACCAUAUGGUGACGUCAUUCAAAAGUCCUCCUUGCUUUUUGUGUGUGUGUGUGUGUGUGAGGCAAUUUUGAGACCAAACCUACGAACUUGAAUUUAUUGAUUGAUUGAUCAUAUCUGAACACGCUCUCUGUGCAGCGCCGCGCCAGACACAGAUUGACCCUCUGCGGACACCGUAGCUAAGCAGGAAGCCGUUUGAGGCUUUUGGCGGCAGCGAUUUGUUGACAUCACGGACGACUGAGGAGCCAGGAGACGGUCGAUCUGAACCCGGUGAUCGGGGCUGAGGUCCCAUGGAGAUGGACUCCGUGCAGCGGCUCCUGGACCGGUUCAGACCCCGCAGCGAAGCGGAGGCCUCCUGGUUGAAGGACAUGUUUACCUUCAUUACACAACAGGUGUGUCCGGUGCUCACUGGCCCCGCCCCUCACGCUGCAGCCGAGUUAUUGACAGGUGGAGGUGUGUGCUCUGACGUGUGUGUGUCUCUGAGUGUGUGUGUGGUGAAGACGCUGCAGGAGAACAUGACGCUCACACACACUUUACCUGUGAGCUACAGACCAGUGUCUGUCUCUGAGCUGGUCUCUCGGCAGCACCUGGCCUGUGUCAGUCACCUGUCCUGGAGCACCAAUCAACAGCGAGCGUGGGCGAGGGAGGCAGAGUUUUUUCUGCCAGGUAGCAAGGCUCUGCGGCGGGUCAACCUGCUGCUGAUUGGCUGCCUGAGAGAGGGGCAGGGCGGAGAGUGGAGGCUGAUGGACAACAGCGGGAGUGUCAGGUGUGAGUGCCUGUCUCCCUCUCCUCAGUGGCUCAACCAUGCUGUCUUCCUCCCUCACUGGAACUACAUCCCCCACAAUGCCUCGGGGCAGGACGAGGCCGGAGGCUGGUUGGAGCUGAUUGGUUCUCCUGUGCUGCUGUGUCCCGGCCCUGAGCUGGGAUUGGCUGCUGGAGGAGGGGCGGGGCCUAUCACAGCAGUGGGAGUCAGAGAGGCUGCAGGUGUACUGCACAACAGGGUGAGGGGACAGCGAGUGUCCGUCUGUGGACAGGUGGGCUCAGUGUUCCCUCUGCUGGUCGUAUUAGGAACAACCUUCUUCUGCUUCAGGCUGACGGAGGACAGACACAGUCUACCUGUCCUUGUAAAGGACAGCAGCAAGUUGUGGUGGCGUCAGUGUGUGUGUGUUGGUCAGAGUGUGUGUGUGACGGCGCUGCGUGUGUGUGUCCUACGAGGCUGGAGAGGAAACAACAUCCUGUGUGUGACCGACCAGUCUGAAAUACACACAAACUACACACCCACACACACACCUGUGGACGACACACACACUGAAUCCCAGGCAGACAUGCCCCCGACUAUGAUGCCGCACGGUAACCAUGAAGACUGUGAGGAGGCGGAGCCUGAAAGAGAUGUGGUCCAGUCAGGUGUGAAGAUGAAACGGUCUCGAGUCAUCAGUUACCAGGGCACAGUGACUGAGGUGGUGAGUGAGGGGGCGGGGCUGUACGUGAUUGACAGGAUGGUUGGUCUGUGUCUGGCCUAUCAGCCGAGGCCGGAGAGGAAGCUGAGAGCAGGAGACACUGUACAGCUCCACCAUGUCCACUUCCUGUACCGGCCCUGUCCCGACUUCCCUCCCAGCAUGCUCUGCACCUGUCUUCGCUCCAGCCUCAGGGUGACCAGCUUCAGCAGGCUGGGGGGGUCUCCACCCGCCUCCACCUGUCCGGGUGAUGGAGCAUUACCGCGUUUACUGCUGGAGCAUAACAUGGGUGUGUCCGAGUACCUGUGGACAUGUCACCUGAGCUCACGGCUCUCACACAGUCUUGUCCCCAGUGUGCUGAAGCAGCAGUGUGUGUGUGUCUUGUCCUGGAAGCUGACGGACUUUGUGUGGCGACAAGGACGAGGAGGAAGGAGAGACAUCUACUCAGAGAUGUUGGACGAGCCUCACACCUGUCCCCUGACUCAGUACAGUGUGGACCCUGCUGUCCCUCAGUCCAUCAGUGUCUCAGAGCUCUGUCAGUCUCUACAGUCAGACUGCUGGUCUUCAGUGUCGCUGAGGUCUCUGCUGUCCCCUGGUGGAUCUGCUCUGUCCAGGUCUGAGAUCAACACAGCUCUGUCCUGGUCCUGCAGGACUCUGACCUCUGACCCCCAGACUGGAGAUACAGCCAGGCGGCGCCCCCUGCUGCUGGUGGGGGUGUUGGAGCUUCCAUCUCAGACGUCCGAACACAAACACACUCUACAGCUCAGAGACGGGACAGCAGCUGUCACUUGUGUUGUCACGGAAACCAGUGAGGACAAGGAGGGAGGUCAGAGGGCGGCCUUCAACACUGCCUGGAUAGGUUGUCUGGUGUGUGUCCAUCAGUUCACCAUGGUAACAGAGAGAUUCCUCCAAUCAGAUUUCCCCUCCUACCAACACCUGGACCAGGACCAGUUCAUCACACACAGACACUGCAGCAUUUACCUGCAGUUUUCUCUGGACCACCUCCAUAUCUUGAGUCCAUCUGUCGCCAUGGCAACACACCUGAGACAAAAGGGGUUGGAGUCAGGAGGUGAUGUCACAGACAGGACACAGACAGAGGAAGGUCAGACUGUGGAGAGGAAGAGGGGAAGAAGAACAGAACCAGUCUCCACCCACUCUGCCUCCUCUGUUGCCAUGACGACAUGUCCUGUGAGCGGUGCCUCUCGGCCCUGUGUUUCCGUGGUGUUGAGGGUGGAGCAGAAGGAGGGCGUGGCCUGGAGGAAUGCGGGGGUUGGGUUAGAUGAAGAUGGGGCGGGGUUGGUGCUGCACUUCUCUGUUCGAGCUGCUGUGAUUGGUCCAGUGGUCAGCUGGCGGCGGGACCCGAAGAACAGACCAAUGACUGACAAGGAGACAGAGAGGGAGGAGGAGGAGAAGGUGGUCCUGGAGUUCUCCGGUGUGUGCGCUCGAUGGUUCCCUCUCCUCCAGUCCGGAUGUUUCUACAGACUUGUUGCUGCUGACACUCAGGAUCCCAGUGUUUUGAUUGGCCGAGGUGUUUCUGGGCGGAGUGGCGUGGAGCUGCACACUGACUCCACCCUACAGGUCCAAUAUGAUUGGAGGUUCCACACUCUGAGACGCCCACUGCUGCUGCACACCUGCAGACAGGCUCUCUCGCCCACAGUCUUUUCUGUCUCUGAGGUCCUGGACUGCAGUUCAGAGCUGGUGUGUUUUCAGGGUCUGGUGUCUGACAGGAUCAGUUUGAACGACAGGACGACUGAAUCUGGACACACACACACAGGUGUGCGUCUCACCAUGUCUGACCAAAGUGGAAGGAGUCUCCAGGUGUACCUGGACUUCAGCCAUACCCCCUACCCACCUGGCCUGUUGCCAGGCAACACACUGCUGCUGUCUGCUUUCCAGAGGAAGCUGUCCAGGUCAGGGGGUGUGUACUGCAGUCACUUACCUGUCAGCUCAGUGACAGUCGUUUCCCUCGGAGACUCCAGUGCUGCUUGCCCUCCCCCUGCUCCCAUGAUGCAUCUGGAUCUGUGGGCUCUGGGCAGGGAGCAAAGGUGCACUGUGGGUCAGGUCAGAGGUCAUGUCGUGUGUUUCCUGUUUCUGCAGCUGCAGUGGAGCUGCUCCCUGUGUGGGAGUUUGUACACACAGUCUUGUUCCAGUUCUCAGUGUCGUUCGACCUGCUCAGUCUUUCAGUCCAAAGCAAAAUUGGUGAUUGAUGAUGGGACAGGUGAGGCUCACGUGUGGUUCUCAGGUGUGCUGGUUCGUUCUCUGCUGGGAUUGGCUGAUUCUCAGUGGGAGGGGCUCCAGAGGGCCCUCAGGGUCAAAGGUCACAUCAGAGUCUACCCCCGGGGCCGGAGCGUGGUGUGUGACACUGACUCUGAUGACUCUCUCCUCCACUUCCUGUUGUGUGUGUGCAGCAGUGAUGUUGUUUGUCGCCCGCUCUCUCUCACAUGCAGGAAGCACAACAACCAGAGACCAGAGGAGAUGAGGAGGUUCAGUCGAGGAGACAGAGACUUCAUGACCAGGAUGACUGCUCCUCUGCAGCUCACCUGUCUACACAUCACUGACUGAUACACCUGACGUGGUCAUGUGACCUACACCUGGAUCAGAUAGAAACCCGUCAGGACGGAGCAGGUCAGACCACAUCUGGAGGAGGUCUGGUUCAUGUUCUCAUCAGGUCACCUGACUUUGACUGUACCUGAGGCUGCAGGUGUCAGACAGGAAGUGGUUUGAGGCGUCACAUCUCUGAUCCUGAGUCUGAUCGUGAGUCCUGAGACCCUCAGACCAGGACGGAUCCUGGUUCCUACCAACUGAGACGGUCCUGUAUCCUGGACCUGAACCUGGACCUGGUGCUGGUCCUGGUCUCGGUCCUGGUCCUGGUCCUAGUCUUGGUCUUAGUCUUAGUCCUGGUCCUGGUCCUGGUCCUGGUCCUGUUGCUGCUUCUCAGAUGGAAGAAAAAUCAGCCGCUGCUUUAACCUGCUUUCUGUUUUCAGCUCAGACUCUCGGUGCUGCCACCUGCUGGACUGGCUGAACACCUGAGUCUUUAGACCUGGUCCAGGACCAUCACACUGUAAACCACAAUCCUGUUCAUUGGUCAGGUCUGAUCUGGACUCUGGUGUCUCAGCUGGACACUGACGGUCAUGGAUCAGGUCUGAUCUGGACUCUGGUGUCUCAGCUGGACUCUGACGGUCCUGGAUCAGGUCUGAUCUGGACUCUGGUGUCUCAGCUGGACACUGACGGUCCUGGAUCAGGUCUGAUCUGGACUCUGGUGUCUCAGCUGGACUCUGACGGUCCUGGAUCAGGUCUGAUCUGGACUGUGGUGUCUCAGCUGGACCUGAGCUCUGCUUCACCUGCUGCUUCGCUGUGUGAAUCACUGUUUUCCUCGGUGGUUCUGGUCUCUGAUCGUAUCUGAUCCGUUUGAUUGAUUCUGUAUUUUUCUGCUGUAACAACAAUAAACAUCAGAAACUCUGA
Molecule: RNA transcript, 6856 nt
Organism: Seriola aureovittata
Lineage: Eukaryota; Metazoa; Chordata; Actinopteri; Carangiformes; Carangidae
Gene: ctc1
Gene name: CTS telomere maintenance complex component 1
Exons: 26
Source: RefSeq, a predicted model, not a curated record